RNAcentral lists this unclassified non-coding RNA (243 nucleotides) under uncultured fungus. Its description in RNAcentral is "sequence contains ITS2". The record is from RNAcentral. RNAcentral also lists the same sequence under 1 other name. Lineage: Eukaryota; Fungi.
AACGCACAUUGCGCCCCUUGGUAUUCCAUGGGGCAUGCCUGUUCGAGCGUCAUUUGUACCCUCAAGCUUUGCUUGGUGUUGGGCGUCUUGUCUUUUAUUAGACUCGCCUUAAAGUCAUUGGCAGCCAGUGUUUUUGGUAGUAAGCGCAGCACAUUUUGCGUCUUAGUCCUUAAAUCGUGGCAUCCAUGAAGCCUCUUUUUCACUUUUGACCUCGGAUCAGGUAGGGAUACCCGCUGAACUUAA